Molecule: long non-coding RNA, 1159 nt
Filed under: Setaria italica (foxtail millet)
Lineage: Eukaryota; Viridiplantae; Streptophyta; Magnoliopsida; Poales; Poaceae
Description: long non-coding RNA (SITA_LNC007531)
Source: RNAcentral
UUCUUCUCUUUUUAAUCUAUUUUCUUUUUUCUAACAUUUUAGCCUAUCAAAUGACAUAUGACGCAUGUAUACUGACUGAACUUAUUUUGGCUCAGGUGCAGUUACUGCUAAGAUUUAUUUAUGAACUACAUGUGUGAACUAUUCAACCUAUUUGGUUGAGAUACGUGAACAUGAACUAUAUAUAUAUAAACUUAUUGCGUGAACCGUAACUGGAUGUAUAUGGCUAUGAACCGGUGCCAUUUUGUGUUGCUCUAACAUAGUAAUAUUUGUGCAAAAAUAUAUUGUGGCAUGUCACUUGGUGUGGCUGCAAAGUUCAUGUGAAAACAUGUUAUGAAAUACUGUUCAACUGGAGCAAAAGGAAGGCGGUGCAUCGUUCAGGGGCUAAGAUGGUCAUUUCAGAUGCCCAACACGGCAAAAAGAAAAGGGAACCGAUAUAAAAAGGUGGAAAUGUCAGCAAAUCAAGCAACCUUAUGUUUUAGGUGUCAAAUGUGCGAAACCACAUGUUAGGGAUGUCAAUAGAGCAAAUUUCUCAAGUGCAAGGUCCACCAUCUUCCAAGCAUAGCCUCAGAGUACUCUUCUAAUUAUUCACUCUAUUAUUAUUUUAGAAUGUGAUCAAAAUUAAACUAUGUGUUAAUAUGAUAAUGAUUCAAGAAAUUUGUUCUUUUCAUCACAUUGAUAAAUAUCUAUAUCAGUAAUUUAAAAAAUGAAUUCUAACAAGAAAUUAUUUUGCUUUAUAGCAUGUUGUUUAUAAAAUAGAAGCUUGAUGUGCUAUAUAUUUGUAGAUAAGAAUGAAAAGGUUUCUCAAAAGGGUUGAUUCAAGACUAAUGGUUUGCUAUUUAAAUUGCCAUCACAUAUUUACCAUACAUGUAGUUUCGACAAUUUGCCACUCGAUCGAAACAUUGGCUUCACCAAAAUAAUACUUAAAAGGUUGGUUCUUUCAUAUUUUGACAAAUAAGUCCUUUUGUAUAUACUUAGAUGUCUCGCUCUCAAUUUUCUUAGCAUCACUGAAAAUUAGCAUCACCUCCUGCAGUGGUAGGAGUGAUGCCCAUCUCUUUAUUAUGAAAGACCAAGUUGGCCUGUUCCGCCAUACAUAAGUACCCCCUUUUUUGGCUGAGUAGGAUUCGACAAUGGGCCUGAGUCAGUGAUUCGAAAACUUCAU